This 428-nucleotide ribosomal RNA is filed under the name uncultured bacterium. RNAcentral's name for it is "partial 16S ribosomal RNA". It matches the Rfam family "Bacterial small subunit ribosomal RNA", at positions 354 to 796 of the family's 1533-position model. The record is from RNAcentral.
GUGGGGAAUAUUGGGCAAUGGGCGAAAGCCUGACCCAGCAACGCCGCGUGAGGGAAGAAGGCCUUCGGGUUGUAAACCUCUGUCCUUGGUGACGAAGAAAUUGACGGUAACCAAGGAGGAAGCCCCGGCUAACUACGUGCCAGCAGCCGCGGUAAUACGUAGGGGGCAAGCGUUGUCCGGAAUGACUGGGCGUAAAGGGCGUGUAGGCGGCCGAUUAAGUCUGGAGUGAAAGUCCUGCUUUCAAGGUGGGAAUUGCUUUGGAGACUGGUUGGCUUGAGUGCGGAAGAGGUAAGUGGAAUUCCCAGUGUAGCGGUGAAAUGCGUAGAGAUUGGGAGGAACACCAGUGGCGAAGGCGACUUACUGGGCCGUAACUGACGCUGAGGCGCGAAAGCGUGGGGAGCGAACAGGAUUAGAAACCCGUGUAGUCC